Molecule: long non-coding RNA, 2420 nt
Organism: Anguilla rostrata (American eel)
Lineage: Eukaryota; Metazoa; Chordata; Actinopteri; Anguilliformes; Anguillidae
Exons: 2
Source: RefSeq, a predicted model, not a curated record
CAAACGCGAGGCUCGAGAGGUGACUAUCGGCACUGAAAACUGCUCACAAAUAAAUAGAAAAAGUGGGUCGUGGGUCGAGAUUCCCUGAAUGGACGUUCAUGAAUUGUCUUGAAAUGUAAGCUACUUGCGCGUAACCGGAAGAUUUUGCAAAUGUAUUUUGAAAUCCUGGUCAAGCGGAAGGCAUUUUGUGCUGAUUCGGCGGAGCUGUGUAAGUUGGUUGAGGAUAAGGGUUGAUUCUGAACGAUCGUUUCAUAAUUGUUCGUCUGUUUUUUGUAACUAAGGUCACAUAGGUAGCACCGAACGACUUGCUUUUAAUAUGGAUUUUAGCGGCUGAACUAAAGCUACAAGAAGAAAACCUUCGUUUACACGACUUUAAGCUUGACGGACGACAAAAGUUGCAUUUCCAGUAAGGUUUCUUAAUGUCAGGAUUACAGUUGCGUAACGUCGGCAUGAUUUAUAUAGGACGGUGAUUCACAAAAAAAUCGGAUGAACAUAAUCAUCUCGUGAUAUAACCGUGAUUUAGAGGUGCGUUUAAGCCGUUGACUCGAGUUGAAAGUAACUAUUAGGUGUUACUUUUGGCAUGGGGGAAGUGCCGGUGUCAGGGAGGACCCCCGCCCCCAUCUCUCUCUCUCUCUCUCUCUCUCUCUCUCUCUCUCUCUGACGCGGAUAGUCACGCAGGACGUCUGGAGCCAGAGAAAACGCUAAAAUCCUUUCAGAGAGUUAACACCGCGCUGCGGACGCAAAGACGAUUUCGUGGGAUUUGACGGGAAACACCUGCCCCGCCCUGCACCAGACGCAGCCUGCUCAUUGGCUACCCAGAGCGGGAUGAAGCACGCUAAUGGCCAGCCAGAGCGAGAUGGAGUGUGCUCAUUGGCUACCCGGGGUGAGAUGGAGCAUACUCAUUGGCUACACGGUAGGAUGGAGCGCGCUUAUGGGCUACCCAGAGUGAGGUGACGCACGGUCAUUGGCUACCCUGGGCGAAAAAAGGAGCGUGCUCAUUGGCUACCCAGAGCAAGAUGGAGCGUGCUUAUUGGCUGACCUGCAGCAGUUCUUCACUGGCAAGCUUUAUGUCCAUGUGUCCUCGCUAAAGCUGCCAGCUGAAGAACUGCUGUGGCUGCCUCUGUCCGUCGCCCCGAGAGAAGAGGAGAGGCGGAGCGCUUGGUAACGGGAUGAGGGGGGGGACGGGGGGUCCAGGAUAGGGUGGAGGACCUUCUUAAUUUUUCUCUUUUUUGUUUAUUUUUUAUCCUGAUUUUAUUUUUUAAAAAUUUUAUUUAGUUUUAAUCUCUGUACCCCAACGUGGAUUGGUCAGUCACAUCACUUGACCAAUUCUGUUUUUUUUUGUUUUUUUUUGGGGGGGGUGAGAGGGGGGGGGGGGUGAGGAUUAAUGGAAUGUCCUUUCAAAACAUGUACAGCCAGCACAGGAAGACUGCAGGCAUCCCAUCGACAAGAGUGUAAAUGGGGUGGCGGUUUAGUGCAAUUAGGGUGUAAGUGGGGGGGCAGUUUAGUGGGGACAGUGCUGUGGUCCCCUUGAGUAAGGUAUUUAACCUGAAUUUCUGCAGUAAAUAUCUAGCUGUAUAAAUAUAUGUAAAUUUAUAAAUUUAUAUGUAAAUUUAUGUAUAAAUAAAAUAAUUGUAUGCAGUGAAAGUAGCUGUUGUGUAUGCCACUCUCAGUGUCUGCUCAAUGUCUAAAGUGUAAAGUGGAGUCUGUCUUGGGUUGUGAGACUGUGUGUGAGUGUCUGUGUGCUGUGUGUGUGUGUGUGUGUGUGUGUGUGUGUGUGUGUUCAUGUUCAUCUCCAUCUCCAUCUCCCUGUCAGUUUACAGUGCCUAACCCUCAAGGUCAUGAUGUAAAAUGUGAGUAUAACUCCCAGACAGCAGUGAGGGGGUCUCUCUGAACAGACUAAUGAAAGGAGGCUCAGACAGGCUGUGAUUUAAUCCACACUGCUGCCACACCUCAUCUAAGCUGCUCAGCUUGCCUCCAUUACUACACCGAUUGGGUUAAUUCCACUUGUACACCAGCAGGCGGACUGUGCAGUCUACACAAACCCUGUUAUACUAGCCCUGAUUCUGAAGAGAUGGCAUAGAGCCUGAGGAUACAGAAUACACACACACACACACACGCUAACACACAUGCAUGCACACACACACACACACACACAAACAAACAUCCUCACCAUGUGACAUGCCCCUACAGAAAAAAGGUUAGCACCCCCCCCCCUUCCCCCUUUAGGCCCUAUUCCUUCCUGCCCCACCCCUCUGCCCUUAGACAGUAUGUAGAGGUCACGGGCCCCGGAGCUCUGCGUCUUAUUGGCUGCGAGGGGAUCCGCUGGCUGGUUCAUUAAUAGAGUGGGAGGUGGUAUCAGGCCAAAUUUAAACACGAUCGUGUGUAAGCAGCUUCAAAAAUAAAGUCCUUUUGAAAAUAAA